GACGAACGCUGGCGGCGUGCUUAACACAUGCAAGUCGAACGAGACCUUCGGGUCUAGUGGCGCACGGGUGCGUAACGCGUGGGAAUCUGCCCUUCGGUUCGGAAUAACUCAGGGAAACUUGAGCUAAUACCGGAUAAUGACGUAAGUCCAAAGAUUUAUCGCCGAAGGAUGGGCCCGCGUAGGAUUAGCUUGUUGGUGGGGUAAUGGCCCACCAAGGCGACGAUCCUUAGCUGGUCUGAGAGGAUGAUCAGCCACACUGGGACUGAGACACGGCCCAGACUCCUACGGGAGGCAGCAGUGGGGAAUAUUGGACAAUGGGCGAAAGCCUGAUCCAGCAAUGCCGCGUGAGUGAUGAAGGCCUUAGGGGUUGUAAAGCUCUUUUACCCGGGAUGAUAAUGACAGUACCGGGAAAAUAAGCUCCGGCUAACUCCGUGCCAGCAGCCGCGGUAAU
RNAcentral lists this ribosomal RNA (451 nucleotides) under uncultured bacterium. Its description in RNAcentral is "bacterial SSU rRNA". It matches the Rfam family "Bacterial small subunit ribosomal RNA", at positions 28 to 524 of the family's 1533-position model. The record is from RNAcentral.